This is a long non-coding RNA of Seriola dumerili (greater amberjack), 174 nucleotides long. RefSeq lists it as uncharacterized. The transcript has 3 exons. Lineage: Eukaryota; Metazoa; Chordata; Actinopteri; Carangiformes; Carangidae. The record is from RefSeq and is a predicted model, not a curated record.
AGCAGAGACACCGAGCAGAGAUCACAGAGGAGUGAAGAGACAGAAAGAGAGUUUUCCCUGUGGAGGGAGAGACCGAUCGUCUUCAGCUUUGAAUCAGGAUGCUUGUUCUCAUCUGGGCGACUCUGCUCUUCUCUGUGAGAGGCAACAGUGCUGAUGCAGGUUCCUCUCCUACAG